This 253-nucleotide ribosomal RNA is filed under the name uncultured bacterium. RNAcentral's name for it is "partial 16S ribosomal RNA". It matches the Rfam family "Bacterial small subunit ribosomal RNA", at positions 524 to 776 of the family's 1533-position model. The record is from RNAcentral.
UACGUAGGGCGCAAGCGUUGUCCGGAAUUAUUGGGCGUAAAGAGCUCGUAGGCGGCUUGUCACGUCGGGUGUGAAAGCCCGGGGCUUAACCCCGGGUCUGCAUUCGAUACGGGCUGGCUAGAGUGUGGUAGGGGAGAUCGGAAUUCCUGGUGUAGCGGUGAAAUGCGCAGAUAUCAGGAGGAACACCGAUGGCGAAGGCAGUUCUCUGGGCCGUAACUGACGCUGAGGAGCGAAAGCGUGGGGAGCGAACAGG